CCCAGCGGUUCCGGUGCUUACUA
Molecule: microRNA, 23 nt
Filed under: Melibe leonina
Lineage: Eukaryota; Metazoa; Mollusca; Gastropoda; Nudibranchia; Dendronotidae
Description: mle-miR-252a-3p
Gene: mle-miR-252a-3p
Source: miRBase by way of RNAcentral